This is a non-coding RNA of Bombyx mori (domestic silkworm), 90 nucleotides long. The record is from Rfam. NCBI's taxonomy places the organism in Eukaryota, Metazoa, Arthropoda, Insecta, Lepidoptera, Bombycidae.
AUGAUCUCUGUACCACAAUCUUCAUACACCCAGUGAUAGAAUGUCAAACAUAUCAACUGUGAGUAUGAUGACUGCAUUACAGAGAGACAG